UGGCUCAGUGGUAGAGCGCUUGCCUCACAUGCAUGAGGCCCUGGGUUCGAUUCCUCAG
Molecule: non-coding RNA, 58 nt
Organism: Dipodomys ordii (Ord's kangaroo rat)
Lineage: Eukaryota; Metazoa; Chordata; Mammalia; Rodentia; Heteromyidae
Source: Rfam